RNAcentral lists this transfer RNA (81 nucleotides) under Verrucomicrobiia bacterium. Its description in RNAcentral is "tRNA-Ser". It matches the Rfam family "tRNA". Rfam says of the family: Transfer RNA (tRNA) molecules are approximately 80 nucleotides in length. The record is from RNAcentral. Lineage: Bacteria; Pseudomonadati; Verrucomicrobiota; Verrucomicrobiia.
GGAGGGAUGGCUGAGUCCGGUUUAAGGCGCUCGACUCGAAAUCGAGUGUAGGGAAANNUUCGAAUCCCACUCCCUCCGCCA